UGGGGAAUAUUGGACAAUGGGCGCAAGCCUGAUCCAGCCAUGCCGCGUGAGUGAUGACGGCCCUAGGGUAGUAAAGCUCUUUUACCUGGGAAGAUAAUGACGGUACCGGGAGAAUAAGCCCCGGCUAACUUCGUGCCAGCAGCCGCGGUAAUACGAAGGGGGCUAGCGUUGUUCGGAUUUACUGGGCGUAAAGGGCGCGUAGGCGGACUGAUAAGUCAGGGGUGAAAUCCCAAGGCUCAACCUUGGAACUGCCUUUGAUACUGUUUGUCUUGAGUUCGAGAGAGGUAAGUGGAACUGCGAGUGUAGAGGUGAAAUUCGUAGAUAUUCGCAAGAACACCAGUGGCGAAGGCGGCUUACUGGCUCGAAACUGACGCUGAGGCGCGAAAGCGUGGGGAGCAAACAGGAUUAGAUACCCUGGUAGUCCACGCCUUAAACGAUGGAUGCUAGCCGUCGGGCAGCUUGCUGCUCUGUGGCGCCGUUAACACAUUAAGCAUCCCGCCUGGGGAGUACGGUCGCAAGAUU
This 522-nucleotide ribosomal RNA is filed under the name uncultured bacterium. RNAcentral describes it as "bacterial SSU rRNA". It matches the Rfam family "Bacterial small subunit ribosomal RNA", at positions 355 to 895 of the family's 1533-position model. The record is from RNAcentral.